CCUACGGGAGGCAGCAGUGAGGAAUAUUGGUCAAUGGGCGGGAGCCUGAACCAGCCAAGUCGCGUGAGGGAAGACGGUCCUAUGGAUUGUAAACCUCUUUAGGCGGGGAGCAAUUCCGGGCACGUGUGCCCGGAGGGAGAGUACCCGCAGAAUAAGCAUCGGCUAACUCCGUGCCAGCAGCCGCGGUAAUACGUAUGGUGCAAGCGUUAUCCGGAUUUACUGGGUGUAAAGGGAGCGCAGGCGGCGCGUUAAGCCUGGUGUGAAAGCCCGCGGCCCAACCGCGGGACUGCAUUGGGAACUGGCGCGCUGGAGUGGCGGAGGGGUAGGAGGAAUUCCUGGUGGAGCGGUGAAAUGCGUAGAUAUUAGGAGGAACACCAGUGGCGAAGGCGGCCUACUGGACGGUGACUGACGCUGAGGCUCGAAAGCGUGGGGAGCAAACAGGAGUAGAUACCCUUGUAGUC
Molecule: ribosomal RNA, 461 nt
Filed under: uncultured bacterium
Lineage: Bacteria
Description: partial 16S ribosomal RNA
Rfam family: Bacterial small subunit ribosomal RNA
Source: RNAcentral